CAUAAUAGAUAGCUUGCUAUCUAUGGUGGCGACCGGCGCACGGGUGCGUAACGCGUAUGCAACCUACCAUUAACAGGGGGAUAACACUGAGAAAUUGGUACUAAUACCCCAUAACACAUUGGAAGGCAUCUUUUAAUGUUGAAAGUUCCGGCGGUUAAUGAUGGGCAUGCGUUGUAUUAGAUAGUUGGUGAGGUAACGGCUCACCAAGUCGACGAUACAUAGGGGGACUGAGAGGUUAACCCCCACACUGGUACUGAGACACGGACCAGACUCC
Molecule: ribosomal RNA, 274 nt
Filed under: uncultured Alistipes sp.
Lineage: Bacteria; Pseudomonadati; Bacteroidota; Bacteroidia; Bacteroidales; Rikenellaceae
Description: partial 16S ribosomal RNA
Rfam family: Bacterial small subunit ribosomal RNA
Source: RNAcentral